AGCGAACGCUGGCGGCGUGCCUAACACAUGCAAGUCGAACGAGAAAGGGGCUUCGGCUCCGAGUAAAGUGGCGCACGGGUGAGUAACACGUGGGUAACCUGCCUCUAAGAUUGGGAUAACUCGUCGAAAGAUGAGCUAAUACCGAAUAAGACCACAGUUCCCGCGGGAACAGGGGUCAAAGGUAGCCUCUGCUUGCAAGCUAUCACUUAGAGAUGGGCCUGCGCACCAUUAGCUAGUUGGUAGGGUAACGGCCUACCAAGGCAAAGAUGGUUAGCUGGUCUGAGAGGAUGAUCAGCCACACGGGAACUGAGCAACGGUCCAGCCUCCUACGGGAGGCAGCAGUGGGGAAUAUUGCGCAAGGGGGGAAAGCUUGACGCAGCAACGCCGGGUGAGUGAUGAAGGCCUUCGGGUCGUAAAGCCCUGUCGGGGGGAACGAAUGGCCCUGAGGUUAACAGCCUCGGGGGGUGACGGUACCUUCAAAGGAAGCACCGGCUAACUCUGG
This 502-nucleotide ribosomal RNA is filed under the name uncultured bacterium. RNAcentral describes it as "partial 16S ribosomal RNA". It matches the Rfam family "Bacterial small subunit ribosomal RNA", at positions 29 to 506 of the family's 1533-position model. The record is from RNAcentral.